UAGGGAAUCUUCCACAAUGGACGCAAGUCUGAUGGAGCAACGCCGCGUGAGUGAAGAAGGUUUUCGGAUCGUAAAGCUCUGUUGUUGGUGAAGAAGGAUAGAGGUAGUAACUGGCCUUUAUUUGACGAUAAUCAACCAGAAAGUCACGGCUAACUACGUGCCAGCAGCCGCGGUAAUACGUAGGUGGCAAGCGUUGUCCGGAUUUAUUGGCCGUAAAGCGAGCGCAGGCGGAAGAAUAAGUCUGAUGUGAAAGCCCUCGGCUUAACCGAGGAACUGCAUCGGAAACUGUUUUUCUUGAGUGCAGAAGAGGAGAGUGGAAUUCCAUGUGUAGCGGUGGAAUGCGUAGAUAUAUGGAAGAACACCAGUGGCGAAGGCGACUCUCUGGUCUGCAACUGACGCUGAGGCUCGAAAGCAUGGGUAGCGAACAGG
RNAcentral lists this ribosomal RNA (429 nucleotides) under bacterium. RNAcentral's name for it is "partial 16S ribosomal RNA". It matches the Rfam family "Bacterial small subunit ribosomal RNA", at positions 355 to 776 of the family's 1533-position model. The record is from RNAcentral.